CUAGUCAUCUAUUUAAACCAUUGUUAACCCAACACAGGCAUGCAUCUAUAAGGAAAGAUUAAAAGAAGUAAAAGGAACUCGGCAAACACAAACCCCGCCUGUUUACCAAAAACAUCACCUCUAGCAUUUCCAGUAUUAGAGGCACUGCCUGCCCAGUGACAUCUGUUUAAACGGCCGCGGUAUCCUAACCGUGCAAAGGUAGCAUAAUCACUUGUUCCCUAAAUAGGGACUUGUAUGAAUGGCCACACGAGGGUUUCACUGUCUCUUACUUCCAAUCAGUGAAAUUGACCUUCCCGUGAAGAGGCGGGAGUAACUAAAUAAGACAAGAAGACCCUAUGGAACUUUAAUUAACUGAUUCACAAAAAACAACAC
This 372-nucleotide ribosomal RNA is filed under the name Equus caballus (horse). RNAcentral's name for it is "partial 16S ribosomal RNA". It matches the Rfam family "Bacterial large subunit ribosomal RNA", at positions 1625 to 2129 of the family's 2925-position model. Lineage: Eukaryota; Metazoa; Chordata; Mammalia; Perissodactyla; Equidae. The record is from RNAcentral.